UGGGGAAUAUUGGACAAUGGGGGCAACCCUGAUCCAGCAAUUCUGUGUGCACGAAGAAGGUUUUCGGAUCGUAAAGUGCUUUCAGCAGGGAGGAAGAAAGUGACUGUACCUGCAGAAGAAGCGACGGCUAAAUACGUGCCAGCAGCCGCGGUAAUACGUAUGUCGCGAGCGUUAUCCGGAAUUAUUGGGCAUAAAGGGCAUCUAGGCGGCCGGAUAAGUCCGAGGUGAAAACUGCCGGCUCAACCAGCAGCUUGCCUUGGAAACUACCUGGCUAGAGUAUUGGAGAGGUGGACGGAACUACACGAGUAGAGGUGAAAUUCGUAGAUAUGUGUAGGAAUGCCGAUGAUGAAGAUAGUUCACUGGACGAUAACUGACGCUGAAGUGCGAAAGCUAGGGGAGCGAACAGGAUUAGAUACCCUGGUAGUCCUAGCUGUAAACGAUGAUUACUGGGUGUGGGCAUGAAGAGUGUCCGUGCCGAAGUUAAUGCGAUAAGUAAUCCGCCUGGGGAGUACGGCCGCAAGGC
This 523-nucleotide ribosomal RNA is filed under the name uncultured bacterium. RNAcentral's name for it is "bacterial SSU rRNA". It matches the Rfam family "Bacterial small subunit ribosomal RNA", at positions 355 to 894 of the family's 1533-position model. The record is from RNAcentral.